CUACUGAACAUUUACCAGGUCACCUUUCAGCAGGACAGUUUACCAGAAUCUGGUGUGGUCAGAGUGAAAACAUGAAACCAGUGAUUCUUGCAGUUUUGGUUUUGGUGCUUGUCAGCCAGAAUGAUGCCUUGAGAUGUCACUGUGGAGGUAAUAUAAGGUGUCCAGAACCUAUAGUUAAGUGCCACUCUGCUGACGAUGGCUGUGCCUAUAUUGACUACUUCAGUCCACCUAGAGGUUUCUUUAAGGGCUGCUUUAAUUUUUCUGAAUGCAAGAAGAUGAAUCGUCCUGGUCAUGUAAAAUCCACUUGCUGCC
This is a long non-coding RNA of Nematolebias whitei (Rio pearlfish), 312 nucleotides long. RefSeq lists it as uncharacterized. NCBI's taxonomy places the organism in Eukaryota, Metazoa, Chordata, Actinopteri, Cyprinodontiformes, Rivulidae. The record is from RefSeq and is a predicted model, not a curated record. The transcript has 4 exons.